CCGCCCGCUGAGGCGUCCGCGGGGCUCCCCGUCCCCGCGCGCGACGAGGCGGAGGAACGGCCCGCGCGAGGAGAUGGAUAAGUGUGUAAUCUGCCAAAGACCAUUCCAUGAAGGCAUCACUUAAAAAAGGCAGCUCGGAAGUAACAGCACAUGUCAUAAAUGUGGAAAUGACGUUGUGAUGUCACUUAGCCAACGUUUGCAUACAACCAGCCCUGUCACAUGUAUUACAAUAUAAAUGUUAUCAAACAAGAGAGAAGCCAUACUAACAAAGAUUCACAAAUGGCUGGUGGUGAAGUCUGUACCUCUCAUUCUCAAGAACUAAUGGUUACCUUCCCUGAAUGCUAUCAGCUUUGUGGUAAACCAUCCAAGUUUUCUAUAGGAAAAAAGAGAAGAUUCAACAGUUUUUCUGUUCAAACUUUGGUUUUCUGAACAGCAAUGUUUAACUUCUCUAAUAGAUAUGAAGACAGUUGAGCAGAGAAGAUCAACUCUAAGAUAACAUCUGAUGACAAGCUUCAUACAACUGACACCAUGUGCCAUCAAACGUGCUAUAAAUUUCACAGCAAUGGAGCAGAUUCCUCAAGUGACAAAACAUUUUCUGGGACCCACUUGAUUCUCUCCUUAAGUCUAUAAAAAUGGCAAAGUGUUUGGAAGACAGUUAAGAACAUAUUCAGUCCCUGAUCUGGUACAGAAGAGGAAGGAUGAAUUUUGAAGGUGCCUAUAGUUCAGUAUACCUGAAGAAGUGAGGUUUUCAUGGAAUAAAUCAAAUUCCAAGGUAUGGUCUGAAGAAGUGACCACCUGCUGAACACAGACUCUGGGUCUGAGAUUACUGCCUAGAGAUGCAUGAUGGAAGAAGCUACUAGUAUUGUAAUUCCCACAUUUCUCAGAAUACAGACUGUUUCUGGGGCAGAAAAUGGCGGUUAAAAUGGUCAAGAGACUGAAGUUCCUUCCUGAUGAGUAAAGACUUGGGAUCAAAAAGAUACUGAGUUGGACAUCUACUCCAUGAAUUCCAAGUACUUCACUAAGAAUAUAGGCAUCUAGCUGUGAGGACUGCAACCACAAUUCAAGUCCAUAUGAGGCUGCUGCAAGCCGCAAUUCGGAGUUUGGAGGCAAGGUGUCAGCAGUAUGCCGAUGACGCCUGGUUCUGUUUCUCUGCAACAUCCAACUCGGAAGAGGCCAUGCAUGUUCUGAACUAGUAUCUGGAUGGAUGACAGUCAACAAACUGAAGCUCCUUCCGGCACCAGUUUUGGCGGACUCUCACUCGCUGAUGAAGAGAAGAAGUGGCCUUCAAAGAAGUCUUCUUCCCAAAGAUUUUAUCCACAGCUCCAGGUUUCCAUAGCAACAACUGUGCAUCCUCUCCACCAGUCAACAAAGAACCAU
Long non-coding RNA from Varanus komodoensis (Komodo dragon), 1377 nucleotides. RefSeq lists it as uncharacterized. The record is from RefSeq and is a predicted model, not a curated record. NCBI's taxonomy places the organism in Eukaryota, Metazoa, Chordata, Lepidosauria, Squamata, Varanidae. The transcript is spliced from 6 exons.